UCAGCAUAUUUGGGUUCUCUUAUUACUCUCCUACCAUUCUUUUAUGACCUUCAUCAAGACAUGCUCCAAUUUUCAAAUGUCAAUUUGGGUUAGGGUGGAGUUUUCUGUUGUUGUUUUAAGAGGAACUGAGCACCUACAAAUUGUGGUGUUGAGUGAGAAGCCUGCAGUGCUUUGUUCAUCUGGAAGCCCCUCCCAGCGAGGCAGAGGGCAGUGAAGGGGCACGUCAGACCUUGGACCUUUGCCUUUUUGCCACCCAGAUUUUCAAAUGAUGGUAGUUGCUCACCAAGCCACGCAGCUGUGGCACUGAUGUUGCUUGUGUUAGUGUUUUGACACACCUUAAGUACUGUGGUAUUUAUUAGAAUUUAUUAAUGUUUAUUGAUAUUUAUUAAUUUUGGUUUGACAUAACAAAAUAGAAAAGGAAUACAUAAAGCCAGUAGCUUGAGGAGCUUAAAGGAGCACUUGCAUUUUGACUUUUUGUUUGUUUGUUUUCCUUAUGCUGCUCUGCAAAUAGCGGACAAACUCUAGUUUUCCCUAGGGAAAAAUUUAAGAGUCUUUAAUGUAGUCUUCUCUCUCCCUUCUGAAUUCUGGAAGUUGCCCACCCAUGAGAAACUCUCUAAAAGGCGAUGUGUGUGCAGCGUGGGGCACAGUAUGUUUCAGUUUCCUUUUUUCUUUUUCCUUUAAGAGGGCUAAAUAAUGGCAAGUGAAAGGCACUUCUCUCUCCUCCCCCCUUUUUUAAUUCCCUUUUCUGUAUAAAUCUAAAACCCAAGAAAAAUAGGAAGCACAAGUAGGCCAUAUAUUAACAAGUGUGUCUUGGAGAAAGCAUUGGAGAAUAUAUGUGUGUUUUAUAAGGUCUUAAACAGGAAGUGGCUUCAGAAGUAACUGUGUAGAACAAGGAGAACCAUCUUCAUUUGACCUCCUGCGUGACAAACUAAUGGAUUUCAUUCAUUCAGUUUAUGCAUCAAGGCAGUAACUUCUAGUGAAGCAGCAGCUGAUUUGGAAAGAUCCAGUCUGGGAAUUUGAGCAAGAAGGCCACUGGUUAGAUCUGUUUAGAGGAAAACAAUUGUUCCACUUCCACCUGAGCCCUGAAGAAGUCUUCACAUCAGAUCAGUUUCUAAUACCAAAACCACGCCUGACUUGACUCAUUAAUUUAUUUUACAGUAAUACAGCAGCUUAUAGUGCUUUAAAACUUGAGCUGACGACAUCACAGAAAUCCCAGAGAAAAUGAAAAGUAAUGGUUUGAUGAGAGAUACACCUGUCUGAAAAAAAGAAAGAUGGCAAGGCAGCAUCAGUCAAGAUGGUUUUGUGUAGACACAAGACAUUCAGAUAUCUCUAAUAUGUUUGACUUGGUCCCACAUGGCAUUCCUGUAAAAUUAGCAUUAUAAAUCUUAAUAUUAAAAGAGGAUGUUUAAUGUUCCGUGCUGAGUAGCCUAAUAGGCAGAAAAAGCAACACAAAUGAUGAUAACGUAGCACUUACUUUGCCUAACAUAAAUUGUCAAAUGUCACAAUGAGGUAGAAUUUAGAGAACCAAUUUCUCUGCCUUAAAACACAAGUUAUAAACAGAACAGAAAACUCUCUACUCUUAACUUAGAUUAGCUGUCUACAUGAGACAUUUAAGUCAAAUUAACUGCAGAUGGGGAAGUAAGAAGGCCCUAAACUCCAGUGUGAAUGUUUUAGGAUUAAACCUUUCAGAAUUAAAUGUAAAGGAAACUGGGGAUAUUUUGUCUGUAAAAGAGCAUCAACACAGGGAUUUGGUGGGCUUUAACUAAUGCAAUUUAAUGUCGCACCUUUACUUAAUUCAUCUUCAUCUUUCCCAAAUGUCCCACUGCAGCCAAGUUCUUUAGUUUCAAGUAUUAGGGUGGAUCUAAUUUGAAAGAUAUCAUUAGCUGAAGCAUUAGCUAAAGGCUUGCCGAUAUGGGAAGGUUAGUCAGUGCAGGGGAACCAGCUACUUAAUAUCUGCUUUGUGUCAAUAGUCUUAGUUUACUUUAAAGUGUCGUAGGCUGCAUCACACCACCUAACAUGCAAUGAGAGUUUAUGCAGAGCAACUGCUCUAUUUUAAAUUCAGAUUCACACCUCUUUACGAGUCUAAGAUUUACCCAAUUAAAAGCAAGACUCAAGAUUCAAAGAGCAGGUAGGAGACCAGAUUGCCAUGCAGUGAUAAUGACGGGAGAUUAAUACUUAUUAACCAAAAGUUCAAAGUUAAGACAGGAAAACUAAAUAAAUAAAUAAAUAAGCCAAGCCUCUUGGAGAUGACAUGGAAACUCCUCAAAACAAUGAAACCCAAGAGGUUGCACCUUCCCAGGGUGACAAGGAUGAAGCCAUUAUUCUAAAUGGCAUGUUUCCAUGCAUUAUUUGAGCCAGUAGGAAAGCCAACAGAGUGUAGAAAUCUGAAUCUAUGAAAACCAGUAAAAAGGAACAUCUCAAAUUUCGGUUGGCAGCGACAAAAGGGAAAAUGAGAAGGGCACAAGUGGACCUUGAAUAUGAAAAUGGGAAUGAGUCUCAAAGUGAAGAAGUAAAAAAGCCGUAAAAGGUUAGAAUUAGAACUUAUAAAUAGCUCAACACAGCAAAAAAGGAAGGGUAUAGGGUUUUGCAGUCUCAUAAUAAAAAACACCAUAUAGUUGCUCUCCCUUUACUGGUCUCCUCUGGUAGUACUCUCAAAAAUAGCAUCAGAACAAUAAAGAAACAUUGGAACAAGAGGGCAACUAACCAUUCUCCAAAUCACAUAGAGCAUAUCCAUGACUGUCAGAAGCUGGAACAAUGGGGCUGCCAGCAAAGCUAUGGAGCCACACAUCUUGACCUGAAAAUCAGUCAGAAUGGUCUUUCAAAAUAUUUGAAAGGUCAUGUUAUGGCAAGUAAGGUUUUGUAAAUGAAAAUAAGAUCUCACUAAUCUCUUAGAAUUAAUGAUUGUAUCAGUAAGGUAAGGAAUAAAGGAAAAACUAAGCUUACUUUGUCUUGCAGAAUAUAUUUGACAAUUUACAGUGUCAGAACUUGUCCAGGAGACAGAAGGCAGAGAGGAGGCUUAGGUGGUCACUUUUCAUCAGGGCAUCGGGUUAACUACAAAGGCCUCAGCCUUCCCUCCUAAACCCAUUUCGUGUUGGUUGUUACAGUACAGAUUGGGAAAAGACAAAUGCUGAACUAGGAUAUGCUAGAUAUAAAUAGGAAACAUAGGUAUGAAUUUAUGAAGUUAACCAGGCCUCAGAGGGGACUAAAGGAAACUUCAGAGACCUUCAAAAAAGCUAGAUGAAUGGACAAUGUAAUUGCCAAGGAAGUUCAUUAUAUCUGCAUGGAGUUAUGCAUUUAGGAGAAAAGGGAAACUGCUAACAUACCUUACAAGUGAAAAAUGGCUAAGGAACAGCUUCAGGUGGGAGGUCCUUGGCAGGGAAAAGCAAGAAGGUAAAGCUGCUGAUAAGUAAUUUUCUCAGGUGCCUUUCUCAUAAAAGGAGAAAUGGACUAGAAGAAAUUUCUCUAAGGCCAAUGCCAGCUAAUUAUUAAAACCUUCUUGAAAUUAGUUAUGACUGAUUUUUCUUUCAAGAUACAAGGAUGUACUGCAUGGCAUUGCUCAGGAGUUGUACCAGACUAUUCAAUGGUUCAACUGGAUAAUGAAGACUGCUAAAUUUUCAGAUUGCACCAAUCUGGAGAUGGCUGCAAGAACGGCUGGGGUCCAGGUUCAGGUUCAGCCUCCUCUUGAGAGUCUAAGAGUAAGCUGGAGACGAUGGAGCUCAGCUCAGUAAGGACAGAGGAAAGGACCUGCACUGAAUCUACAGCGGAGCUACAGGACAGCAAUAUUUCAGAAAAUGGUUUAGUAGGGCAGUAUGGUUGUUCACGAGCUACACAUGAACUGAUCUGCACACCAUGCUGUGAUGUAUGGACUGGCUUAUACCUCUUAAGACACAAAGGGAUCAUUUCCAUUCAGUCUACACAGUGGUGUUAAGAUUUCACCUAGAGGUAUUAUGUCUGGUUUGGGGCAUGAAACUCAGGAAAGCCAUGGCCCAGUCAGAAAGGACAGUAAGAAUGAUAAGAGAUCUAGAAAAUAUGACCAAAACACCUGGGUGAACUGCAGUUGUUCCUAAGGAGAAUGCUAAAGGGGAAACAUGAUGAAAGUCUUCAAAUAUGUAACAGGCCAUUGCACAGACAAGUGGAAAAAGCUUUCCCUGCCCAUGGGAGGUAUAUAGGAUGUAAAUUGCAGCAAGAAAGCUUCAGGUUAGGUAUUUUUCUGUCUUUCUAAUAGCAAAGGUCACAAAACAUUGGGAUAGCCUGUAGGGCUGUGGAGUCUCCAGAGGUCUUUAGGAACAGAUUGGACAAAUAUACAAGGAAUGCUUUAGGAAGUAACCUAGAUCAUUGCCUUUGCCCCCAAGUGUCACCCAGCCUUGUUUGCUGUUGUGCAACAGAAAGCUCAACAACUCCAUCCUUUCAGUACGCAGAUAAAAUAGGGUGAAGAAAAUAAGAUAGACUAUCUUGACACAGAUCUGUGGUACAACCUCAAGCAGACUGCUGUGGUUCAGCCAUCUCCAGCCAUCUCAAAGAGACUGGGAACUUCAGAGGAUUCAAAGAAAAGCAACAAGUAGGAUCAAGGGCAUGGCAAUUCACAAAAGAUUGAAAAGAUUGGGAUUAUUAUCUUCAGAGAAAAACAAGGGAGAGAGAAUAAAAGUACAUGAAGUAAUGUCUGGUACAGACUGAUCAGGAAGUUCUCUUUUUCCUGUCUGAUACUGUGGAAUAAAGGGACCUUCUGUGAACUAUAAAACUAAAGGUAGGAUAUUUAAAACUGAAAAAUAAAAAUUAAAAAAAAAAAAAACCCCAAAAAAAAACCAACCAAGCAAAAAAAAACCAACCCCCAAAAAACCCAACAAACAACAAAAAAAGCCCACAACACCAAAGGAAUUACACAACAAGAGAUUGAAGUGGGGAACUUCUCUGCUAUGGUACAUUCAAAGCAUUGAUACUAGAUCCAAAAGGAUUCAGAAAGAAAAUGUCUUACCAACAUAGGUACAUGAAACUCCAUGAACUCUACAAAAAGAGUCUGGGUCAACUUGCCUGCUUUGCACCACACUCUGCUGUCCAUUCAUGGCUGCACUCCAUCCCUCUACAGCUGUUCCAGAGAGAAACGACACAAGUCCCUGAAGGAAGGAUGCUCAGCCUUCUGCCACCAGCUGCAGUGCUCCCACCAGUGUGGGGACCAAGGCAAGAGCCACCAAACCCAUCCCAGCCAGCAGCCCCCUAAACCACAGGGUAGUCCCGCCACAAACCCAGCGUAGCUGCUUGCUGGUGCAGAAGGGGCGUGCAAUAAGGGAAAGCAGCCAAAAAGCUGAAGUUGCUGUUUUAAAAGACAGCAAAGGGGACAAAAAGAAAGACUGCUUGUUUUUAAGAGGCCACUAUUCAUCCUCGUAGGCUGGGGACUGGCUGGUCGUACUUGCACAUCGCUGAAAGAACAGAAGACAGGUCUAAUCCAAGUCCUUUCUGUCUUGGGUAUCUGACGUGUCCUGAGCCAAAAACACUGCUUUGCCUCAAACAGGCUUCAUAAAGUCAUGGCUUUGUUAUCAUCCUACAAAAACUGACCUUGUGUAUCAGGGAGGUGCAUCCAGCUAUUUCUGUAUGUCUGGUUUAUCCAGUAAUGAACAAACAGUGACAAAGGAUCUCCAACCCGGAUGACAACAUUGUACCUAUAAACAGAAGAGUAAAGGUCUUCAUUGCAAAGUCUUACCAAAAGUUAACUUAACAAACCUAUUUAGUACUUAAUAACUCCAACCGUUAAAAUUUUCAAUGCAGUUGUUUUUUAACAUGAGAGCUAGUAAUGUAACAACACCAGGCUACUUUCACCUAACAGCACUGAUGUGGUUUUGAAAUUGUACAUGACUUGCAAGCAGCUUGAUGGAAGAGCACCAUCUCUCCUGGUCUAGAGCUUACAGGCUGUAGAGCAUCACAGCUGGCAUGGCAUUUGUGAAGUCCCUUUCACACUGACAUAAGCCUCCAGAAGGCUUCAGGAGGAAUAAGGAGAACCAGCCGUGUCCUGCAGGCAAGACCCUGAAGAAGGAUAGCACAUCCUCACGUUUUGUGCCCUGGCAGAUUCAGAAAGCCUGGGAGGUCGGUCAGCAAGCCGACCCAUACAAUGCCAGCUCAGAAGGCCUCCGGAACAGUGAUUACUGCCUGCUUGGGAAAAUCCAGGGAGCUUGGCUGAGCCUUAAGGACAACCUAAAAUGAAAGUGGUCAAAAGAACAUCAAAACGGUUGACUGUGGGCUGGGGAUAUCCCAGACAAUAAAGGCUGUUUGGCAAUUGCUGCUUUCCAUCUGCAAAGCAGAUGAGACUUCAAUGCUAAGGAUAAUUUAAAAGUCAAAUAAAUGAUUUAAAAUGGCUUGUAAUAAAUAAACCCGUGUUUCUUUUAAA
Strigops habroptila (Kakapo) is the source of this 6376-nucleotide long non-coding RNA. RefSeq lists it as uncharacterized. The transcript has 2 exons. The record is from RefSeq and is a predicted model, not a curated record. NCBI's taxonomy places the organism in Eukaryota, Metazoa, Chordata, Aves, Psittaciformes, Psittacidae.